Molecule: ribosomal RNA, 457 nt
Filed under: uncultured bacterium
Lineage: Bacteria
Description: bacterial SSU rRNA
Rfam family: Bacterial small subunit ribosomal RNA
Source: RNAcentral
UACGGAAGGCAGCAGUGGGGAAUAUUGCACAAUGGGCGAAAGCCUGAUGCAGCUAUGCCGCGUGUAUGAAGAAGGCCUUAGGGUUGUAAAGUACUUUCAUCGGGGAGGAAAAACAAAACUAAUAAUUUUAUUUCUUGACGUUACCCGAAAAAGAAGCACCGGCUAACUCCGUGCCAGCAGCCGCGGUAAUACGGAGGGUGCUAGCGUUAAUCAGAAUUACUGGGCGUAAAGAGCACGUAGGUGGUUUUUUUAAGUCAGAUGUGAAAUCCCUGGGCUUAACCUAGGAACUGCAUUUUGAAACUGAAAUACUAGAGUAUCGUAGAGGGAGGUAGAAUUCUAGGUCGUAGCGGUGAAAUGCGUAGAUAUCUGGAGGAAUACCUGUGGCGAAAGCGGCCUCCUAAACCGAAUACUGACACUGAGGUGCGAAAGCGUGGGGAGCAAACAGGGAUUAGAUACC